RNAcentral lists this ribosomal RNA (321 nucleotides) under uncultured Pseudomonadota bacterium. RNAcentral's name for it is "bacterial SSU rRNA". It matches the Rfam family "Bacterial small subunit ribosomal RNA", at positions 30 to 351 of the family's 1533-position model. The record is from RNAcentral. Lineage: Bacteria; Pseudomonadati; Pseudomonadota.
AUUGAACGCUGGCGGCAUGCCUUACACAUGCAAGUCGAACGGCAGCACGGGAGCAAUCCUGGUGGCGAGUGGCGAACGGGUGAGUAAUGUAUCGGAACGUGCCCAGUCGUGGGGGAUAACGCAGCGAAAGCUGUGCUAAUACCGCAUACGAUCUAUGGAUGAAAGCGGGGGACCGUAAGGCCUCGCGCGAUUGGAGCGGCCGAUGUCAGAUUAGCUAGUUGGUGGGGUAAAGGCCCACCAAGGCGACGAUCUGUAGCUGGUCUGAGAGGACGACCAGCCACACUGGAACUGAGACACGGUCCAGACUCCUACGGGUGGCUG